Molecule: non-coding RNA, 1827 nt
Organism: Benincasa hispida (wax gourd)
Lineage: Eukaryota; Viridiplantae; Streptophyta; Magnoliopsida; Cucurbitales; Cucurbitaceae
Source: RefSeq, a predicted model, not a curated record
AAACCAUUCAAUAUUUAUCCCUAAAAUAUCUCCUUAUCAACAUAUUAUACGAUCAAAAUCCUCAUUCCUGAAAAAACGAAACCCCCUUCCUCUACGAACCACAACCCACCUAUUCGAAUCUGCUGUCGCUGUGAGACACCAUCGCCGCCGAGGGUCGUCAGAAACCCUUGCAAAGUGUCUCCAUCCUCGAUGAUCUUCUCGUCCGUGGUUUCCAUCGUCGUUGAAGGUCUUUUCGUCAGUGCCACUGGUGGUUUCCUUCGUCGUCGUCCGAAAUCAUCCCAGUUUGUCGGCUCGUGGUUCGUGUUCCAACCAUCCAUCUGUUCGUCAAUUCAUGUGUAAACUCUCUUUCUCUGUUUAUUUUCCCUUGUUUGGAAUGAUUUUGAAAUCAAUUCUAAUUUGUUUGGAUGCAAAGUAAAUAUCGUUUGGAUGCAAAAGUAAAUGUCUAUUGAAUACAUCCACUUCAGUUCGAAUUGAUUUGGAUGCAAAAGUAAAUCAAAAAAUUAUAAAUCAAUUAUGAUUACAAACGUUUUUCCCCCAAAGAAUUUCUAUACCAAAUUGAUAGGAUUUACAAAUUAAUCAUGGUAGCUUUUAAAGUUUCUUUAUAAAAAAAUUUUAAAGUUUCUUUUUAAUAGAAAUAUUCAGAGGAAAAUGUAAAAGAGAGCCGUGAAAGAACACAAAGAAAGAAAGAAAAGUCGAAGAUUAGAGAAGAAGAAUGAAGGAUUUUACAUUGAAAUUGGGAGGUUCAAAAGCACCCACUCCUUUGAAAUCGAAAUCUUAACUUAGUCGCACAAAUUCACAAUGCUUGCAAUUUUCCUUAGGUUUAGGACUUCAAUUCAACCUAAACAAACCAUAACAAAUGCAUUGGUUGUUUCCAUUUGAGUCAAAGCUUGUAAAAUUUUUUUACUCUUGCAAAUAAGUGAUGAGUCAAAUUAAGUUUAAAAUUUUCUCCGUAAACGAUUCAAUAAAUCUUAUUCUUCUUUUUAGUACAAUAAAUCAUGUUCAAAUUGUACUUUAAAAACACUCAAAAUCAUCAAUGUUGUAGAUUUAACAUAAUAUUUACAUGACAAAACUGAUCAUACCUCAAUUAAUAUACUAAAUGUGUCAGAAAUUAUAAGAUAUAUGGUUCAAAUCCUUCUAUCCAAUUGUACUUAAAAAAAAAAAAAAAGAAUCACAUAAAUGUGUCAGAAAUUAUAAGAUAUAUGGUUCAAAUCCUUCUAUCCAAUUGUACUUAAAAAAAAAAAAAAAGAAUCACAUGGUAGAAAAAUCAAUACUAAUGCAAGUAGUCUCUAUCAAAUAAACAUAAAUCAAUACUAAUGCAAGUAGUCUCUAUCAAAUAAACAUGGACACUAAUGAAUGAACUAUUUAUUCAAGUACAAAGUUAAAACUAGCAAAAAUAAUAAUAAUAAAUAAAUAAAAUAAAAUAAAAUAAAAUAACUAAAUUUUAAGUGACGAAAUUGAAGACAAAAAACAUUUGACUUAAUUUUGCUAGGAUCGCAGUGUUCUUUGGAUUUUUUUUGUAUUUUUUCGACUGCAUUUUGAUAUAAAUUUUUGUGAGAAAAGAAUGACACAUGUGUACAUAUCUACCCACAGAGUUUGAAGCAUUAAGAAGUGGCAAAAUGGUUUUAGAAGAAUUUGUUAGAGCAUUAAAACCAUGAAGCAAUAGAUAUAUUUAUAACAAUUUUGUAGGAUCUGUGGUAAGACUUUCAAUGUAAUGUACAUGUACUCCCUAACAGCUUCUUGUAAAACCUAUACCGAUGGUUAUUAAUUGAUGUGUUUGUAUAAUUAACCUUAUGAUCAAUUUAUAUAUGUAACACUUUUUUAUGUUCA